Molecule: ribosomal RNA, 492 nt
Filed under: uncultured bacterium
Lineage: Bacteria
Description: partial 16S ribosomal RNA
Rfam family: Bacterial small subunit ribosomal RNA
Source: RNAcentral
AGUGAACGCUGGCGGUAGGCCUAACACAUGCAAGUCGAACGGCAGCACAGUAAGAGCUUGCUCUUACGGGUGGCGAGUGGCGGACGGGUGAGGAAUACAUCGGAAUCUACUUUUUCGUGGGGGAUAACGUAGGGAAACUUACGCUAAUACCGCAUACGACCUACGGAUGAAAGCAGGGGAUAUUCGGACCUUGCGCGAUUGAAUGAGCCGAUGUCGGAUUAGCUAGUUGGCGGGGUAAAGGCCCACCAAGGCGACGAUCCGUAGCUGGUCUGAGAGGAUGAUCAGCCACACUGGAACUGAGACACGGUCCAGACUCCUACGGGAGGCAGCAGUGGGGAAUAUUGGACAAUGGGCGCAAGCCUGAUCCAGCCAUACCGCGUGGGUGAAGAAGGCCUUCGGGUUGUAAAGCUCUUUUGUUGGGAAAGAAAAGCAGCAGGUUAAUACCCCGCUGUUCUGACGGUACCCAAAGAAUAAGCACCGGCUAACUUCGUG